AGAGUUUGAUCAUGGCUCAGGAUGAACGCUGGCGGCGUGCUUAACACAUUCAAGUCGAACGGGCGAGAGGAAGCAAUCCUUUGCUAGUGGCGGACGGGUGAGUAACGCGUGAGCAAUCUACUUUACGAGUGGGAUAACAAUUGGAAACGAUUGCUAAUACCGCAUAGUGUAUAGAUACCGCAUGAUAUCUAUACCAAAGAAAAAUCGCGUAAAGAUGGGCUCGCGUCCCAUUAGACAGUUGGUGAGGUAACGGCCCACCAAAUCUACGAUGGGUAGCCGGACUGAGAGGUUGAACGGCCACAUUGGAACUGAGAAACGGUCCAGACUCCUACGGGAGGCAGCAGUGGGGAAUAUUGGGCAAUGGGCGAAAGCCUGACCCAGCGACGCCGCGUGAAGGAAGAAGGUCUUCGGAUUGUAAACUUUAGUCAACAGGGAAGAAGAAAGUGACGGUACCUGUAGAGGAAGCCACGGCUAACUACGUGCCAGCCGCAGC
This 493-nucleotide ribosomal RNA is filed under the name uncultured bacterium. RNAcentral's name for it is "bacterial SSU rRNA". It matches the Rfam family "Bacterial small subunit ribosomal RNA", at positions 8 to 518 of the family's 1533-position model. The record is from RNAcentral.